GUCUAUGGCCAUACCACCCUUAACGCGCCUGAUCUUGUCUGAUCUCGGAAGCUAAGCAGGGUUGGGCCUGGUUAAUACUUGGAUGGGAGAAUAUUGCCUUACUAGUAUUAUUUACU
RNAcentral lists this ribosomal RNA (116 nucleotides) under Prolemur simus (greater bamboo lemur). The record is from RNAcentral. Lineage: Eukaryota; Metazoa; Chordata; Mammalia; Primates; Lemuridae.